ACAUCAGUGAGGUACAUCCUUACCUGUUGUCCUCCACUAGAGGGCUGCAGAGCAUGAUGAUUGGAGUGGGAUGAUGUCAUGAUUACUCCCCCUCUCUCUGUGUGGAGGUCUGCAACACCACUACAGAGAUAAUCUGAU
Small nucleolar RNA from Engraulis encrasicolus (European anchovy), 138 nucleotides. RefSeq annotates it as U8 small nucleolar RNA. The record is from RefSeq and is a predicted model, not a curated record. The transcript has a single exon. NCBI's taxonomy places the organism in Eukaryota, Metazoa, Chordata, Actinopteri, Clupeiformes, Engraulidae.